This 253-nucleotide ribosomal RNA is filed under the name uncultured bacterium. RNAcentral's name for it is "partial 16S ribosomal RNA". It matches the Rfam family "Bacterial small subunit ribosomal RNA", at positions 524 to 776 of the family's 1533-position model. The record is from RNAcentral.
UACGAAGGGGGCUAGCGUUGCUCGGAUUGACUGGGCGUAAAGGGCGCGUAGGCGGCGGACACAGUCAGACGUGAAAUUCCUGGGCUCAACCUGGGGGCUGCGUUUGAUACAUGUCUGCUUGAGUUCGGAAGAGGGUCGUGGAAUUCCCAGUGUAGAGGUGAAAUUCGUAGAUAUUGGGAAGAAAACCGGUGGCGAAGGCGGCGACCUGGUCCGAUACUGACGCUGAGGCGCGAAAGCGUGGGGAGCAAACAGG